RNAcentral lists this unclassified non-coding RNA (381 nucleotides) under soil metagenome. RNAcentral describes it as "partial contains 5.8S ribosomal RNA, internal transcribed spacer 2, and large subunit ribosomal RNA". The stretch from base 1 to 120 matches the Rfam family "5.8S ribosomal RNA", at positions 35 to 154 of the family's 154-position model. The record is from RNAcentral.
GAUGAAGAACGCAGCGAAAUGCGAUAAGUAAUGUGAAUUGCAGAAUUCAGUGAAUCAUCGAAUCUUUGAACGCACCUUGCGCUCCUUGGUAUUCCGAGGAGCAUGCCUGUUUGAGUGUCAUUAAUAUAUCAACCUCUUCAGCUUAUGCUUGUUGAGUGUUGGAUGGUGGGGGUUUGCUGGUGUCUUAUGAAGUCAGCUCCUCUGAAAUGCAUUAGCGGAACAAUUUGUUGACCGCUCAUUGGUGUGAUAAAAAUAUCUACGCUAUUGACGUCAGUCAGUUCAGCUUCUAACAGUCCAUUGACUUGGACAAAUUUUUCAUUAAUGUGACCUCAAAUCAGGUAGGACUACCCGCUGAACUUAAGCAUAUCAAUAAGCGGAGGA